This is a long non-coding RNA of Pelmatolapia mariae (spotted tilapia), 1846 nucleotides long. RefSeq lists it as uncharacterized. Lineage: Eukaryota; Metazoa; Chordata; Actinopteri; Cichliformes; Cichlidae. The transcript is spliced from 3 exons. The record is from RefSeq and is a predicted model, not a curated record.
UUGCCACAGCUUUCAAAGAGAAACCUGCAGUUUGUCCACCAGCUCUACCUCUACACUGUUAAUCUGCUCUGCUAUGUGCACCACAGACCCACAUUUAAUCUCCUACUUGCAUACUUCCAGGUCUUUCCAUUUGCCACGUCUCCAUAGACACGCUUGUUAAAAAUGUGAUCAUUCCAAGGAGAAAGCUAGAUCUGUCAUCAUUCCUGCAAUUCGAGCUAAAAUGAUCCAGAAGCGGCGUUAGGCUGCGUGACAGGGAGUAUGCAGAACUGCAACACUUAUGACCGCUGGAAACACACAUGCGGACAACAGCCAGGCUCCUGAUAAAACGUGAGGACUGUUUGCAAUCAUCCCAGAGAGAGGAGGUAUCAGCAUCUCAACAGAGACUAAAACCAGCAACCCCAUCUGCUGCUCUGAACCUCUCUAGAUAGCGUGCACAAAGAGCAGCACAGACCAUUAAAGUCUGCAGGCCAAAACACCAACCAGUAAUCUGGAGGAGAACAAGGUGACAAACUCAGCAAAUUCACAGCAUCCUACAAAGAGGAGUUGGAUAAGCUGAGGAUUAAGAACAAAGUUGAAAAUCACUGAAAGAGGAGAAAAGCAAAAAUACACAAAACAGAGAAGAAACUUGAAAACGUAAAGACUUGUUGGAAGUCCAGAGAGUGCUAAAGAAAGAGAAAAGGGCAACGCAGGAGGCAAAAAAAGAAAUUCACAAUGCAAAGAAGGAAUUAUUGGAAGUCCAGAAAGCACUGGAAGAGAAGACAAGGGGACUGCAAAAUUAAUUGUUAAUUAAUCCGUAAAGCACUCAAAAUGAGAAGAUUGACGUGAUGGGGAUAAAGACAGAUGGUAGACACUGAACUGUCACAGAAGGAUGGGGAAAGAAGAAGAAGCAGGUGAAAAAGAAGACAAACGAGCAGGAGAAGACAGUCAAGAACAAGAGCUGCUUCCAAAAGAAAAAAACAUCUACUAGUUACUAGAGAUGGACCGAUCCAAUAUUACGUAUCGGUAUCGGUCCGAUACUGACGUAAAUUACUGGAUCGGAUAUCGGAGAGAAAUAAAAAAUGUAAUCCGAUCCAUUAAAUAUCAAAAAAGCACCUCACAAAACUUGCUACACGGUGUAACUCGGCUCAUAACCAUGAUAGAGCGGCUGUGUGUAUUUGUAGCCUCCAGCAUUUCAUCUCCAAGGAAGUUAUCCCAGAGAGAAGUAAAGCAAGUGUGUAAGUUCAUCUCUGAAUGUUUGUAAAGCAUUCCCACGUUAAGCUUAACAACCGAUAUAUGGAGCAAGUGCCUCUUCUCUCUCCCUCCCUCUCCUGCUGCUACUUCAAUCAUGAAACUGAUUAAUGAUCAGCUGAUCGGCUUUUCUGUCGGGAGUCCGUCUCUCUUCUUUGUUUUUGGCCCACUUUGCACCAGAAAGAGGAAACCAGCGGCUGAACAACAGCAGCACGUUUAACCUUGAUAAGCUGUUGUUAGAAUUUAUUUAAUAUUACUUUCUAGACCAGGAUCCUUUUCUAGGUAGCUGACGGCUGGUAACUGUGCAGGGGCGGAUCUAGCAAAGUUUAACCAGGGGGGCCGAUAGGGCAUUAACAGGGAAAAGGGGGGCACAAAGACAUACUUUUCUUUCUUAUUCUCAUUUAAAAUGUCUAGCUUUUAAUAAAUAAUUAUCUGAAUCUUACAUCCAAAGUUUUAAUCUGAUGUAAAAUGUAUAGAAGUCCAUUACUGUAUAUAGUAACUGUUAAGUCUAAUAUACCCUAGUAAACUAUACUACUUUUUCCUUUGGGAAGAUACCAUCUGUGCAGUCUGCAAUUCUGUUGAAGAAAGAUGUUGAAUCUAUUUAAUUAUUCUUGAAAAA